Molecule: long non-coding RNA, 150 nt
Organism: Telopea speciosissima
Lineage: Eukaryota; Viridiplantae; Streptophyta; Magnoliopsida; Proteales; Proteaceae
Exons: 3
Source: RefSeq, a predicted model, not a curated record
GAAAGGAACAGUGCUCUUGGGGAGGAUGAUAAUAGGUCCAUAAAGGGUAGACCUCAGCCAUGAGAUAUGGGCAUGCCACAAAAGGGUCCCUCUCUGUCCAGUAAUAGUGAAGUUAUACACAUAAGAUUGGCCUCUUUGAAUAGGGCACUG